GCACCACUACGGUCAACCUUGGUGGGGUCCUUGCCAGAGAAGGCACCCCCGCCAUGGGCUCCCCAUCCGCCGUAGGUGUCGAUGAUGAUCUUCCGGCCCGUUAGGCCCGCGUCCCCAUGCGGCCCACCGAUGACGAAGCGGCCCGAGGGGUUGAGGUGGAAGAUGGUCUUCUCGUCGAGGUACUUGGCGGGGAUCACGGGCUUGAUGACGUGCUCCUUGAGGUCAGCGGCGAUCUCGUCGUUGGUGACGGUCUCGUCGUGCUGCGUGGAGAUGAGGACGGUGUGGACGCGGACGGGGACCAUGGCGCCGGACUCGUUGCGGUACUCGACGGUGACCUGGGUCUUGCCGUCGGGCCUGAGCCAGGCGCAGGUGCCGUCCUUGCGGACGUCCGUGAGCCUGGAGCCGAGCUUGGUGGCAAGCACGUGGCUGAGCGGCAUGAGCUCGGGGGUCUCGUCCGUGGCGUAGCCGAACAUGAUCCCUUGGUCGCCGGCGCCGAUCUCCUCGGGACGCCUGGUGAAGUGGCCGUGCACGCCCUGGGCGAUGUCCGGGGACUGCUGCUCGAUGUUGACGAGCACCUUGCAGCGGUCGGCGUCCAGGCCCACGUCGUCGGAGACGAAGCCGAUGUUGCGGCACGUGUCGCGGACGAUCUUCUCGUAGUCGACGGUGGCCUUGGUGGUGAUCUCGCCCAGGACCAUCACCAUGUUGGUCUUGGUGCACGUCUCGCAGGCCACCUUGCUGUCGGGGUCCUGCGCCAGGCACGCGUCCAGGACGGCGUCCGAGACCUGGUCGCACAGCUUGUCUGGGUGCCCCUCGUUCACGGACUCGGAGGUGAAGAGGAACGUCUCCAUCGCCAUUUCUGAUGAAGAAGCUACACGUCCUGUUGUUGGGGCAGGCAAGAGAGGGGAUAGAAUGGAAUGUAUGCACGGUUGAUCUAAGGCUAGAGUUGGGUCAUUUAUAGCAGCGGAGGCCGUGCGUAGGUUAAGUUGCUGGUGGGAUCGCGGGACUGAACAACCAUGGAUUGUUGUUGCCGCUGAGCCAAAGCGGCCCCGUCCUCACCAACCCAAAACCCAUGUUGCGGUGGGCCACGUCACCUACCAUCUACUGCUUAAUUCCCCUUUCUUCUUCUUCUCCACUUGCCUAUGUGAGGUGUUUCAUACGCUCGCAUGGUAGGCGUGGUUACACUCUCAGACUAAACAAAGGGUAGAAAACAAAAAGGCUGAUGAGCUGUUUCAAUUCGGACGAAACUGCACAAACUACAAAAGUGUUUCUGAGUGGCCAUGCUGGCAUGGACUGAUGGCGAUUGAAAAUACUCGGAGAUUUUUUUUGUUUGGCUCCCUGCCAGCCUAUUUCACCGCGUCAAGUGUGGUUGGUGGAGCUAGCACUGAUGACUGGUGGGUGGAUUUUUUUUUUAAUAUUCUUCGCUAAUUAUAAGCAACUCAAAAAGUCAGAAAUAUUCCUCUAUAUUAUGGGAUUGGGCCACCCAUAUUUAGCCCCACACUUGUGGAUGCUCCCACAUACGACUAUACGGAUAUAUGCAGCAAGCCGAUGCUCUGAGGUUAUUUGUAAAACUGCUGGUAUGUGGCCAUGUAGGGGUCAAUUAAUCUGUCAAUAGUUUCUUCAAGUUUUUUCAUUUCUGAAAUCAAUACAACCUUUGUUUAACUCGGGGAUAACGGUUUCGUUUUCAAUUAGGAGGAGAGCAAGAUAGAUUCUUCAAGUUGGUACCAAGAGCACCAAAUCUUUUUUUGUUUAAAAUUAUAUUUUUCAGUGCAUUCAUUUGAAAUAAAAUUGUGCCUAAUAGAUGUUACUCCAGUAUGUUUGUUUAUAAAAUUGGUCAAACUCUAAAAAGUUAGGCGGUCAACAAAUUUUAUACAUUUUGUUUGUGGAAGUAAAAAAUGGAUUGUCUCUUCAAGGUCCAAAGCGUUGCCGCGCGCAGGAUGCAGCGUGGUUAUCGCCUUGCUGGCUGACAUGUUCCUGAACACCAUCGCUACAUGUCCUGCAUAAUAAUUCAGGCAUCUAUGAGAGGAUGAGCAACCGAACUUGGAGUGAACAGCAUGCUUCAUGCAGAGACAUGGAGCAUGCUUCAAACCAUGCCGCUUUGAGUAAUCCGGCUGACGUGUAGCUGCAGGCAGAGUUAAGCAUGCUUCAUGUAGCUUUGAGUACCUACCGUACCGAUCCAUCCAUACCUUUUAGGCUUUUACAGUUAUAAGCAAGAAUAGUUGAUUCAUGUUGCUUCAUAAAGAAUAGUUGGUUCCUAGUCUCAAAAAAAGAAAAGAAUAGUUGGUUAAUGGAAUAAGAUAUUGGUCUUAGUGCGGUAUCUAGCAGGUGCAAGGCCGGAGCUUGAUUGAUUGUCCUCCUUUGGUUUUCUCGGUAAUAAUCAAUGUUCACGGCCGGGACCUAAACUUUGGGCGAAGAACACACUUCAGUUUACUCACUCUGUUCCGAAAUAGACAUAACAAGAUCUCUGCUCCAGAAUACAAAUAUUAUGAAACAUACAGUAAAAAAUAUCAAUAUCUACAAUAUCAAAUCAUGAUCAUAAGAUCUUAUAAUAAAAUAGUUUGAUAUAUUUAGGAAGUUUAACAGUGAACAUCAAAAGUUACACAUCUUGCAUUUUGGAAGAGAGGGUAUGAAAUUGUUUUCAGAACUAGGUUCAGGGUUGCCAGCAUAAUACAGGAGAACACAGAAAAUUUUAAUAGAAUGCAAGUGUGAAACAAAGGGAUGCAACCGUAACACGUUUAGAUAAAACACAUGAAAAGUGUAGCGAUGAAAUGAGAACGAAAAAGAUGUAAGAGUGGGUGCUGAAAUUGAUGCAUAAGAAACUAACCCAUAAUGGCCUCUUUGAUUAGCAGGAUUUUCAAAACACAUGAAUAGAUAAACAUAGGAAUUUUAGUUUGAGUGGACGUAAUUUUUAUUACUAGCAGAAACGAAUUAUAUGGAAAAAUUCAUACGGUUUGCAGGUGAAUCAAAUGAGUUACAUAGCAAAAAUUCCUAAGUAUUAGAAUUCUCCAGAAAUUAUUCAAAAAUCCUUUGAAUUGAAAGGCUCUUAGAAUUUUGUAGCACUAAUUGUGUUGAUUCAGAUGACAUUUGUCCCGUGGAUUAGGUUCCUUUGGUUUCAAGGAUUGAAGUUGGAGGAAAGAAUAUUCCUAUUGAAUGGGCACCAUGAAUGCAUUGAAACAAAGGAAUGGAUCCUAGGAAAUUUGAGUCGAAGGCAGGAAUUUAAAAAUGCAGGAAUAAAAGAAACGAAAUCACUAUGCGUACGACACUUCCGUGUCCGAAAUUGGUACGACACAACGAUGGAUGGUUGUAGCCAGCUCGGCUGAUGCGAUGGAUGGCUAGUACUGAUUGUCGUAUGAAAAUCGUACGCAUGAUGUCGUACGUGUAGCAGUGUCGUAAAAGGAAAAACUCAUGCUUACAAUGUUAUAUCCAUUUAAUUUUACAGGAUUAAAUUAGCACCUAAGCAUGUUUAAUUACAACAAAGAAAUUUUGUGUAAAGGUUCAUGAAAGUUCUGCUAUGAAAUGCGUGGCAGAGAAUGCUUACAAAAAGUUCGCAAAAAGUUUAGGUAAUGUUCCAGAUAUAAUUCCAAGUACUCCUACGAUAUUUUUCCCUUAAGAUUCUAUUCUUUUCAUUUCUUUAUAAAACUUUUUCCGAAGAUUUCUAUUUACAAUUUUUUUUACAUGAAACUGCUACCAUCAUGAAUCUCCGAUAUCAGGAAUAUUCCCCAUUUUGCACCGAAAGCAGAAAAGACUUGUCCCCAAAAUGAUUAAACCAGAUUCGAUGCUCCUAGAGAGAAGCUCAUACCAAUUACUAGCCACAGGAGGCCACCUUUCGUCAUGCCACAAGAUAGCAGAGUAGGCUGUUGUUAAGGCACAAGGAAGUUACAUUUUCUUGUUGGUUUGCUGAGCCAAGUGUUUCCUCAGUAAGUUCUACAGUUUAUUUAUAUUAAAACGCCAACGGAAGUUUUUGUCAAUCAAUUACACUAUAUAAAAGAAAAGUGCGCUCCAAGGUCCAAGCAAAUUCAAGCUGACCAAGCAUAAAACUUCAGAAUUAGGUGCUUAAAGUAUUUGGAACUGAGAAUAACAGGGUACGAAUAUCACAUAUGGUAUUACUGAUGCAGUUUCAGCAUACUAAAAAAUAACAGGACGACUGAUAGAGCAAACUGCACAGCUAUUGCAGUUUUAGACUCGAAAACGAAGGAAAACCACAAAAGAUAACAAAAGACCCGACUAGUAUAAACUCAGCACGUAACUCUGUCUGCCACACCAAAAUACCACUCACUAGACGCCAAUGCAGCGUGUCCGCGGCGAUAUCAAACCCCUUCUUCCUUCUAAAGAGCAGCAACUCAUUAAUCAGAGAUACAUCCAGCAGCAGUGAAACUCACUUCCAGCAGCAGUACCAGUCCUUAAGCAGAGGCCUUGUCAAACUUGAGGGGCUUCACCACCUCCCAGGUGAAGUCAGCAUCAUCACGGCCAAAGUGACCGUAGGCAGCGGUCUUGAUGAACCUGUUGCCACCCUUCUUCAAGUCAAGGUUGAUGCUGAUCAUACCAGGCCUGAAGUCAAAGUUCUCCUUCACGAUCUUCAGAAUCUCCUUGUCAGGGAUGGUGCCGGUGCCGUAGGAGUCGACGAAGACAGACAAAGGCUCAGGGACACCAAUGGCAUAGGAGAUCUGCACAAUGCAGCGGCGUGCAAGACCACUGGCAAUGAUGCUUUUGGCGGCCUGCCUGGCAAUGUAGGCACCACUGCGGUCAACCUUGGUUGGGUCCUUGCCAGAGAAGGCACCACCACCGUGGGCUCCCCAGCCACCGUAGGUGUCGAUGAUGAUCUUGCGGCCGGUGAGACCAGCAUCACCGUGAGGGCCACCGAUGACAAAGCGGCCUGACGGGUUCAGGUGGAAGAUGGUCUUCUCGUCCAGGUACUUCUCAGGGAUCACAGGCUUGAUGACAUGCUCCUUGAGGUCAGCAGCAAUCUCAUCGUUGGUGACGGUUUCAUCAUGCUGGGUGGAGAUGAGGACGGUGUGCACACGGACAGGGACCAUGGCACCACCCUCAUUCAGGUACUCAACAGUGACCUGGGUCUUGCCAUCAGGCCUGAGCCACGCACAGGUGCCGUUCUUGCGGACUUCAGUGAGGCGGGCACCGAGCUUGGUGGCAAGCACGUGGCUGAGGGGCAUGAGCUCAGGGGUCUCGUCAGUGGCAUAGCC
RNAcentral lists this long non-coding RNA (5195 nucleotides) under Brachypodium distachyon (stiff brome). RNAcentral's name for it is "long non-coding RNA (BDIS_LNC001739)". The record is from RNAcentral. Lineage: Eukaryota; Viridiplantae; Streptophyta; Magnoliopsida; Poales; Poaceae.